AUUGCAUGUUAUGGUGUCUUUUAGGGUGAUAGCUAUGUGAAGAUGGUGGUGGCAGCCAUUAUUUCAGAGACUAUCCCUGUCUUCAUCAUAAGUGAUUUUAUAUGAUGAGUAACAUGGCUGCAAACUGCAUUUAUACUCACAGAGUGUAUUCUCAGCUGUUAGUGCGGACUGCUGAGGGAACAGUGGACAAAAUCCGUCAGACAGACAGCAAUGCCAACUUCCGGUGUUUCACAUUGGAGGUAUAGUGAUAAGAUUCUCGCACUCAGGAAUCAUAAACUAUGGUGCUACAUUCUGUCAUGCUAGGUACUGUCAGGCCUUUACUGUGGUUGGUGUUUCUGUGAUGUAGCUGGAUUUUAGUGUCUUUCUUUAUUAAGUGGUCCAUGUAGAUUGUUUUACUAGCCAGUACUAUUGCACCCUUGAAGUUUAUCUGGUUCUUUUGGACACCAAAGGAAUGGCUAUAAUGGCAGGGUACAUGGGCUUUUUAGAGAUGGAAGCUACCGAGAUCAAGGUACACUUUUACAACUUAAACAGGGAUAUGGAACUCACUCUAAGCUGUAUUGUCACAGACAUACUUCAACAGAAGGGGGCCAUGAGAACAACCAUAUUCUGUAAUGAAGCUCCAACAACAGCUACUGUGGCAAUGUGUCCAGUGUGUCAUCACUGACCGCCUAAUUCUGCCACCAGUCUCUCAGCAGUCUAUGUCAGGACAGCUGAGAGCAUUCUCUACUAGUACAGUCGAAGAAAAAAUAUAACAAAACUUUGGUACCAUGCAAGGCAUUGUCAUGACUUAGAGUUUCAAAACACCCUACGGCACAACACAUGGCAUGUAAGAAAAGACGGGACAAGGAUGAAUCAGCUGAAGUGGAUAUUAAUGGGAGCACACAAAUGUAGUUAAAGGCAAAAUGUCAGUGGCACACAUGAAAGGGUAAGUAGAGCCAGGUAAAAGAGUGACUGAGCACCUUUCACCAGGUUCAGGGCUGGAAUUUGUGGUAGAUGUGGUUACAUGAUACCUACUUUGUACCACAACUUGUACAAAGCUACUUGAAAUAUCUGAAGAGAUUUACAACAAUGAAAUGGGUAGGAACGAAUCCCCUAUAGCUAAUGACAGGAAAUAGAUGCACUACAAUGUUACAAGAAUUUGUAAUUCCCUAGGGUUUUCAGUUGAUACUUGAGUGUGCACCUAGUUCUGAAAAUAAAUUUCUACCUCUGUCUAGAUUGCAAUACACUUGAGAACAUAGAAAGAGCUGAUAAUAUCAAGUAGUGCGUUUGAGGAAACAUGAAGAAGGUGAACAUUUUAAUUGACUCAUAAGUUUUUGCUUAUAAGAGUCUGAAAUUUAUAAACCUGUCUCCAGACCCCAUGCUAGAACUACUUACAAAUUUUGUUAUUUAUCGAUUUCUGUUAGAAAUAUCUUACAGAGGCCUGAGUAGUAUAAAAUGAGGAUAAAGUGCACCAGUCUGAUUCAGUGCUAAAAUAAUACUCAUGUUUGUGAAAAUAGAUAAAUUACAUAAUUUCACUUAAACAGUGGUUACUAGCAACAAUAUUUUUGGGCAGUUUUAAAAAUUCAUUAUUUUCUUCAGACAUUCAGAAAAUUAAUUUUAAAUGUGUUGGAAUAUAUCUGGUUUAGACUUUGAAACUACAAAUCAAAUCAGUUUAUAUUCACUUUCUUUUAGUGAAGCACAAUAAAUUUCAUUUGAUAUGAUGAUAAUUCCAACAACUGCAUUCUACUGAAAAUUGUGAAUCCUUGCAUAUGAGUAUAAAUGGGUUCCAUUUAGCACCUGCGUAUUUGUCAGUUCUAUCAGAAAGUUUAUAUCAUGUUGAGAAAAUCUAUUUAGUUUGUUUAAAUUUCUACCUUAAUGCACUUCAUGCAGAUUGUUUGCUCAGUGUAUUGUGUCAGACUUCACUCUUUAAGUAAGAAAUUCAAUUAUCUGAUAUUAAGACAUUUUUACUACAUUCAGUUGCUUAAAAUUUUAAUUAAAAAUCAAUAAUAUUUACUGACAAUUUAAUCUGUACAUUGUUUGUAAGACUUGUGUCAUGAAAUUUGCAUUAUGUAUUACCUAUGUAAUUUAAAUAAUGUUAUUGAUAUUGAUAUUGUUACUUAAUCACUGAUAUAUGUAUAAAUGUUGAUGUGUGAUAUAUGAAAUAAGUAACACUGCUGCAGUCUCCUUGAUCUCUAUUACUGCUAAUGCUACUACCUAUCAUCUCUAUGACAACUGUUCCAAGGUCCUGAAAAAAUGAUGCACUAGUCAUUAUUAUGUACAAAGUGAAGAAUAUUUAUAAUGUGGUUAUUAUGUAUAAUUUACCAUAUGUGGAUGUUACACAUAAGAUUCAUGCUUAGCAUAAGGAUAUUGGAUGCAGCUCACUUUGUCUGUGUCAUGGUCCCCAAAAUUUGUUAUGAUGCACCUGUCCUUCUGCAACCAGUGCUCCCAUCAUUAGUCUUACAUCCUACUACUCCAUUCUCACAUGGAGUCCAUAUUUAUAAACAGAAAUAAUUAGUAUACAUUUCUCUCACAUAAUACAGUACUAGUUUCACAAGAUUGGACUUUAUUCAUUUUUUUAUUUGGAAAGAAAACUGUGGUAAGUUUUGCCUUAUCAUAGAAUGAAAAAUAUAUUUACUGCUGUUUUACCAGUGCUGUAUAGUUUCGAUACUGACAGUGUCACUAAAUGACAAACUAUGAAGAAAAGUAAAACACUGUUUUAAAUUAAUGUAAUAUGUAAGACCCCACUUAUGUGCUGUAACAGUCUUAUUACCAAGUACUUAUGUACUUUGUUAAUAUUAUGGAUGAAUUUAUCAUUUUUUAGGGAGAACAUGGUAUGAUAUUUUAGUAAUGUGGGGACACCAAGAGAUGCUGGAAUAGUGGAAUAUGGUCUUCCUUCCACAAAACAUUGCCUUGCCACUAUUACUACUCAGUCAUCCACUAUUGUUCUCCCAGAGGGAAAUCCCUGAAAGCUUUCUAACUAUUGUUGAACUUAAAUAUGUGGGUAGAUAAUUUUUUAAACAACAGGUGUAAAAUGUUUAAAAAUGGACAUACAGUAGAUAAUAAACCUCCUCUACUGUAGUACAAAUCUAAACAGUACUGGGCCCUCUUUAAGGAGCUUUUAUUUUUUAUUCUUCUUUAUAACACCAGAAUUAGAAUCUGAAUUUUGGUUAUCUACUCAUUAGGGAUUUUUGAAGCCAAACACCGAAAAUAAAGCACAGAUUGCAAUUUCAUUUCAAAAGGACUAUGCAGUUAAAAAAAUCUUUGGGUACUUUAUAAUAUGCUGUAUAAUCCACAUAUUGCCAUAGAAUUUAUUGAAAGGAGAUUUUAUAGAUUAAUUUUCAUUUGUUAAAUUAUCUAAGCUGUAUUGUCAAUUUUAAUGUUGAUAACUUUAACUGAAGUAUACAUGAUAAUUAUACUACUUGUUGAAAUAUUACUUGAUUUAAUUUGUGUGGGCAUUGUUGAAGGUGCAACUUCCUGCUGUGCUCAUAUACUGUUGGUGUGUUAUGUUGUCACUCUUUAUAAAUGUCACUGCUUCAAAAAUCUAUGAGCAUGACAAGAAGUUGUAUCUUCAAGACUGUGCAUGCCAAUUAAAUCAUUAACCAGUUCAACUGCAUUCUAAAGUAUGUUAUGAAAUAUUACUUAUUCAUUUCAUAAAAAUAUCCCUGUUUAAGAAUAAUUUGUUUUACCAGGUAAUUUUACAUACAAUUCUGUUGUUAAUGGAGGAAAAUGAACAGUGGCCAUCAAUUCUUUGGAUUCUCUUUUAUUUCAAGACUUUAUAAUUUAACUCUUACAUUUAGAUAUUUUAAUUAUUAACAUUACUUAAUCUGAAUACCAGCAAUAUGUCUACAGAAAAGCAGUAAUUAAUUCUUUGAAUGUUCUGUAAAAAUAUGUUCCAACUUCCCAUCCUUUUGCUCAUUGAAAUAAUUUGCUCACAUCCAUAAAGACGUUGGAUAAUUUACAAAAUAUGUGAAACUAGGAUGUCAAAUAGGUUACAUUUCUUAUCAAAGAAAAAAUGAGGAGGGAGGAGAAUCUCAAUCCUGUCUGUGCUGUGAUGGACUUUCAUGACAAAUAUAGGAGAUGUCAGAUUUUUUUUUUCUAGGGGUGAGUAGCCAGAAAACUUGCCUACAAACUUACAUUUAAGCUAUUUAAGAUUAUUAUAUCACAUAUUUUCUCUCAAUGUGGUUUCAGUACAUCUGUAGAAAUUUUUGCACCAGUUUCCUGUAAAAUAACUCUGUAACUGCAUUAAAGUGAAUAUGAAAGGAAAAGGAAUUAUGAUAUUAAUUUAUAAUAUCUACUGUUGUGUGAAAAAUUUAACUUCAAAAUUCCAUAUAACAUUAACUGGGUUCUCAGGAAGAAAGCAGCCAUCCUAUUCUUAAUAUCCAUCAGAUUCACACAGGUAUGAACACGGCACUUUCUUUCCAAAAGCAUGUUUGCUGGUACUCUCACCCACUUUUUUGUAGUAUCCAUCAGAUUCAUACAUGCAUGCAUGCACGUACGUAAAUGCACGCACGUAAAUGCACAUAUGGGCACACAGCAGUCUUCUCUCUAAAAACAUGUUUGUUGGUACUCUGAUGCUUGGGUUAGGCUUAAGGUCAAAACCUACAAUACACAGACAAUGAGUAAUUUUUUUCUUGAUGCCAGCUUGCAUCAGUCAUAUUUUGAUGUGCAUACCUGCUGGAAAUAUGUGUUUGUGCUCAUGCCCUUUUAUUAGAGCAGAUUUUCCACACAAAUGGUAGCUACUAAGCCUUUGAUUUUGGCUUAAUAAUGCCUUAAUAAUAGAAAAACAUUUUGAAAAAAACAGCAGUUUGUGUAAAACUGAAAGUUAAAGAUUAAAGCACAGCAGGCUUGAAAGGUUUUCCAGUAUGUUUAGUUAAUACUUUUAUAGACUACUAUGUGGAACAUAAAUUAUUUUAAGACAACGAAGAUUUCAUGUGGGAGCAAAGUAAUCUGGUAAAUGGUAACAGUAAUCAUCACACACACUUUAUAAAACUUAAUUUAAAGAAAAUUAAUAAUUUAUAGUUUACUUUAUCAUUCCUUUCAUCUUGUUCCAAACUAGAUGUGAAAAUUUGAGUUAAUGUUAAAAAGAUCACUGCACUUGGAAUUUUUAGUAAGGAAACAAUUUUCCUUCAUGGGCAACAUCAUGACUAAGUUAUAGCUUUUGCCAUUAUUUAUUUAUCCUUUUUGUUUUAAGCAUAUUUACUGCUAAACUAUAUGAACUACAUUCUUCUGACUCAUACUGUUACAAAAUCACAUAUUUCAUCUCUUGUGUGCUGUAGCUUGAGAGGGAUUUAUGCAGAAAACUUGUUAUAUCAGUACCCCUUCCUCUAAGUAGACCAGAAGGAAGAAUAAAUCCUACCACACAGUUGAGCUGGUAAUCAUUUACACUAUUACAAGCAGUGCUAUAUUACAUCCAGGUUUUUGAUAAAAUUACAGAAUCAAUUAAAACCAGUAAACUCUUUAAUAAUUUUAGUGUGAAUCAUUAUUGGUCAUUAUUUGUAGUGUGAUACAUAAACUGUAACUAUUGAGCGUAGGUAUCUUACAACAAGAGGUAUAAAUUGUUUUUGAGAUAAACCUAUAAGAAGAAUUAAAAAACUAUUUGCUAUUAGUGUAUUUAUGCACGGCCAAAUUUGCAAUGUUGCAUUUGCAUUGUUGCCUGAAGAAUAUUGUACGCCUUGAAUGGAACAAUACUGGUAUCAUGUCUCUGUAAGUGGUGUAUGUAUGUGAGUUAUGAAAUGUUAAUCUGAUUCAUGAGGCUAUUAAUAUCUCAUAUUUAUACAGUGUUAACAUUUAAACCUUCUUCAGUACAUUUCAAAUUAUAAAUAUUCCUUGUGAGGCUCUGAGGUUCCCAACUCUUUCUGUUAAUUUUCAUCUAGAUAUAAAUUAUUUAUCAUAGAUGUGAUAUUCCUUUGUUUAGGAUAAAGAAUAUACCUCUUUCUGGAGAAUGUGGAAGAUGGACUAUUUGAAAGACUCAGUGAUGGAUGGAGUUAAACUUAGUGUUGUAUUUUGAUUUUAAUUCUUUGGAGUGGAAUCAGUUAUAAGAAAAUAAUAUGCUGAUCCUUAACACAGUACAUACCAGCAUGUUGUGGUUCACAGGCAUCUAAAGCUGUUCUCUCUGAAAUCGUCUUGAUACAUUUUGUAAACGAAAACAUGUCCUCUUUUUAUUUAUUUGUUAUUUUUUACAGUUUCAGUCUAGCAGAAGAUUGUCUGCUAAUCUCUCAAAGCACAUAUUCUUAUGUGAUGCAAAUGAACAAAAUGGAACAUAAAAUCUAAAAGUCCAAGAUGUUGGUAUAUUAAUACAAUUGUAGCCACUACUAAUAAUUUAUUAACUGUUAUCAAUUUCUUUAUCUGAAAUGUCUGACAAUAUGUCAAUACAACCCUUUGCAACAAUUUCUUCUCCACCCAGCACUGCAUUGGUAUUCUUUUCAGCAGACAUAUUCAUGUACAGUAGAUCAGGAACUGUUGUAAUUGUAAGCAUUAGUUAGCUGAUGUGUCCUGUCUAAACUGAGGCUAACCCUGGUUGCAUGUGCUGCAGCAAAGUAAGCGCACAAGACCUAAACCAUUCAGAUAUAUGAGGAAGGAGUUCUUCCUGACUAAUACUCUUUGCUCCAGUAAUUGUUUAUUGUGAUGUAUGUGCUAACAACAAAGAUUUAAGAACUGAUAGUUGAUGUCAAACCUGCAAAUUUCACAGCACUAUGCAAGUAAUGUAUUUAUUUUCUUUUGUGAUGGCAAAUUUUUGCAGUUGGUAGUUUGCAGUGUUUCAGAAACUUUAGAACCUUCAUUUUCAAGGCCGAAAUUACUGACAGCUGAUCCGUUUCUCAUAUUUAUAGUUCUGUACCAUGUGUCUGAGGAAUCUUUUUCUGUUCAGUUUCUAUAGCUGCAUGGCAAAAAAUAAUAUCAUUUAUGAAUAAGGCAUCCUGAAAAUGGAGACAGCAAUUUCUUUUUUUAAUGCUGGCAAACCACUCUACCUUAACAUGACGGCAAUACCGAGAAAGAAAUUAAAAAGAAUACAUAUAAGUGAACUACUUUUAAGACCCAAAGAUCUGCCUUUGUUAGUUCCUUGUCCUGUGAAUUAUUUUGUUUUAUCACUACAUUUUCCGAUUCUUCUGAAGAUGAUACUUAUUUUUAUGUGAAGAAGACAUUCAUCAUUUUAAAGCAUCUUUUGGCUGUCUUUAGUUUUCAUAUACCAUACUGUAUCCCAUUGGAUGAAAACUGAAACUUACACAGGGAUUGUAUGCUCUUUGAAAGAUUUCAUGUUAUACAUACUUAUACAUCCAGGCAAUAAUCUUCCUCUCCUACAAGAGAUAUCCAGAGCAAGUCAAAUGUUGGGAAAUUUAUUUGAUAUGAUGUCCUUUAUUGCUGUAUUUUGCCUGACUUUCAGUUUUAUUAAUCUUGUUAUAAUGAAAUCUUUUAAAAAUUAAAUCACAGAACACUGUGUGAAGUUAAAUAAAAUGGCUGGAGUUGAGUGACAUUUCA
Molecule: long non-coding RNA, 7452 nt
Organism: Cryptotermes secundus
Lineage: Eukaryota; Metazoa; Arthropoda; Insecta; Blattodea; Kalotermitidae
Exons: 2
Source: RefSeq, a predicted model, not a curated record